This is a long non-coding RNA of Lolium perenne, 2746 nucleotides long. RefSeq lists it as uncharacterized. The record is from RefSeq and is a predicted model, not a curated record. Lineage: Eukaryota; Viridiplantae; Streptophyta; Magnoliopsida; Poales; Poaceae.
GCGUAUCGUGUUCGUGCCUCUUUCUUUUCCUGCUUUUCUCCAUCUCCACACCUCCCUCCCAAAUUUCGCCGCCUUCGGCCAUGGCUCAGAUGCCGCCGGUUGAGCCCCUCCGUUCCUCCCUCUCCUCGCCGCCGCUGAGCCGCGCUCACGGGCGAAGCCCACAUCGAUAGGCCCUUCUCUCUCUCCCCGUUCGGGGGGUGGACGAUGCUGGACGACUCCGUCGAGCGGCAGCGUUUUGUAUCGCUGCGGCCCCAUCCUCUUCCGCGAUUCUCUCCCCUCUCUCCAAUUUACAGACGGUUGUGGGCGUCUGCAUCUGUGCUCACGAUGGUGCUGCUGGCUGCCGGGCCAGCGCCGGCGGCACAGGGGUGCAGAGUUGGUGGGCGCGGCCGCCCACGGGCGAUUAGGGGAGUCUAGCCCACGGGGAGCAUGACACGGGGAGGAUUCUACACCGUGGAGGACCAAGACGACGACCACGGCCACGCAACACUGGCUGAUGUGCUGUGCAGCGGGCGGACGCGACGACCCAGAGGGGGCCUCGCGAUGCAGCUUCACCUCGGCGCGUCAUUGAUUUCAUGGCGACAGACAACUGGUGGCGUCCCUGAUGUGCUGUUGUUGUUGCACGGCUUGGCCGCAGGCAGGUGGACUUCAGACGGCAUGUUGUUGUACAUUGACUCGCCGGGGCAGCCGACGCAGGUGCAACCAGGGCCGCUGCACUCGUGGGCGGCGCGGUGGCGCUCGGACGGGCCUUCACGCGCAGCGGCGUGAGACCACCCAUGCCGGAACUUGAAACAUGGGAUUCGAGCCUGCUGGAUAUAAUCAAGCGGCUGCAGAAGAUGGAAGAGGGGCAGCACAAUGCCUGACACAACUGACAGCGGUGGCGCGUUGUUGAGCACCAGAUUAAGGCUGCCUACGUAUUUCACUCCAGAGCACCAUAUUAAGGUUGAUUUGAUUGCAGCAUUUACAUUUACAUGAAGGGUUAUUUCCAUGUAUAAAUUGCAUGGAGGUUAGUUGAUAAUCUUCUGUCUGGUUAGUGCUUCAAUAAGGAGAAUUUUGCAAAUUGUGCAUCGUGUUUUAGUUAGUGGACAGUUACCGAAUACGGUGACUGUUCUUGACCUAUAGUUUUUCAGAGCGCAAGGUAUCAUCUAAUUUGUACGACACACUUUGCUCAUUAGAGUUAACACUACUCUUGGUGCCACAACAGUUUGCUGUUCUAUCAGUCCACACCUAUGCCUUAAGGAGGAACUCACGACCAGCUGCUGCAUCAGCCAAAAAAGGUAUAUUUCCGCACUGAUAGUUUGCAUUUCUCUUCCUUCAUCGCUAUGUAUUCAUAUACGGGUUCAGACAGUGGUGUAUUCGCUCAGCUUACGUGUUUGUGGAGCUCAAGUUAUCUUUAAAGUGUCAUUUUCUUGCAUUCUUACUGCCUCUACAUGUUUGCAGCUAAACCUUCAAGUUAUUCCUCGAAUUCUUAGGUUACAGCUUUAAUUUCUCAAAACUCUAAUGGAUUCAGAAAUCACUUUAGAAUUCUAAAAAAAAUCAGUACACUCAACUUUGCCUGAUGGUUUACCACUGAAUGCAGGUUAACUAUCUCAUCGGUGACCUUUCUCCCUUUUGCCUGAUGGUUUACCACUGAAUCCAGUCAACUUUCUCACUCUUCAUGCAAGUUAUAGCGCACAUCACGACUGAGCUCAGUUGCAAUAGCGAGGCGAGCCAAUUGAUUGAACAAUAGGCAAUGUGCCAGAUAGUAUUUAUAUAGAAGAGAGAAAUUUGGUUUCAUGCAUAUUGCAGCACAUAAUAUGUCCCCUUUUACACUGAAGUUUCCAGUUCAGUGAGUUUGCAGUUUCGGACUUCCGUUCUGUUCCGCUAACAAACAGAUAAAUCUUGAUACUGGUUAUGCCCAACCAAGUAUCAUGACUUAACCUGUUCACUAAAGGUCGACAUACUUGAGAUUAUAAUGUGGACUGGGAUUGAGCAAAUUAAUAUCUUCAUCACUGGGUACUUGCACGGUUCUACCACCAUAGAAGAUGCCCGCUUCUUAUAGGUAGAGAAUCCUAAAUGUGUGCUAGCUGUAACCGGUAUGGAUCCAGAACUCACCUCUCCUUUUUCAGUAAGCCCUUUGUCUCAUUUUUGUUUGUGGCAUCAGAAAUUUAAAGUACCGCCAUUGCAAUAGGACACUGUCUAUUGCAUCUGACCAAAUAGUGUGAGCUGCAUGUUUCUUUCCUUCCUUCUCAGCUAUUAAGUUGUCUUAAAACGUAGCAUGUUUUUUCGUCUAACAAUGCCUAGGGUAUAAGACUCUGACAAUACCGACCAUUUAGGCCACAACACUCGUGAGCAGAACAAAUUAGGAAAAGGAUUUCCUGUGAAGAUCUUAUUCUUCCUGAUAGGUUUUUAUUGUGCCACAGUACUUCUUCCGUCGUUGGACAAAUAGGUCACUGGGAGAUACUCUCGGCUUUUCAUUCUAAUCCAAAAGAUGGUGUACAAAAGUGACAGUGCUUACAUAUUAAUGAUGUACAGUGUGCAAUAAAUAUAACAUGUACUUCAAGGUUGUAAGUUUAAUGUUCUCUAAGAGUGCUACUAUGUAAAUAAUAAUUGCAAAUAUCUUAUAUGUAUAUAUAUUUUUACCUUGGAAACACCUACAAUGUUGUAGGUGACUCGUGUAGUUUCUAUUGAAAAGGUAACAUUCAGGUGUUGUAAAUGUCUUCCAUAAUCUGAUGCCAAGUAGGCAGAGGAUGAGUAUUUUCAUAACUUA